AGAGUUUGAUCCUGGCUCAGGAUGAACGCUAGCGAUAGGCCUAACACAUGCAAGUCGAGGGGCAGCAUAGGGUAGCAAUACUUUGAUGGCGACCGGCGCACGGGUGAGUAACACGUAUGCAACCUACCUACAACAGGGGAAUAACCCGGAGAAAUUCGGACUAAUACCCCAUAAUACAGGGAUGCCGCAUGGCAAUAUUUGUUAAAGAUUUAUCGGUUGUAGAUGGGCAUGCGUUCCAUUAGAUAGUUGGUAAGGUAACGGCUUACCAAGUCAGCGAUGGAUAGGGGAACUGAGAGGUUUAUCCCCCACACUGGAACUGAGACACGGACCAGACUCCUACGGGAGGCAGCAGUGAGGAAUAUUGGUCAAUGGACGAGAGUCUGAACCAGCCAAAUCGCGUGAAGGAAGACUGCCUUAUGGGUUGUAAACUUCUUUUAUACAGGAAUAAAAAGAGGGAUGUAUCCCUUAUUGCAUGUACUGUAUGAAUAAGCAUCGGCUAACUCCGUGCCAGCAGCCGCGGUAAUACGGAGGAUGCGAGCGUUAUCCGGAUUUAUUGGGUUUAAAGGGUGCGCA
Molecule: ribosomal RNA, 573 nt
Filed under: uncultured bacterium
Lineage: Bacteria
Description: bacterial SSU rRNA
Rfam family: Bacterial small subunit ribosomal RNA
Source: RNAcentral